AGAGUUUGAUCAUGGCUCAGAUUGAACGCUGGCGGCAUGCUUUACACAUGCAAGUCGAACGGCAGCGCGGGGGCAACCCUGGCGGCGAGUGGCGAACGGGUGAGUAAUGCAUCGGAACGUAUCCUGUAAUGGGGGAUAACGUAGCGAAAGUUACGCUAAUACCGCAUACGCUCGAGAGAGGAAAGUGGGGGAUCGCAAGACCUCACGUUAUAGGAGCGGCCGAUGUCCGAUUAGCUAGUUGGUGGGGUAAAAGGCCUACCAAGGCGACGAUCGGUAGCUGGUCUGAGAGGAUGAUCAGCCACACUGGGACUGAGACACGGCCCAGACUCCUACGGGAGGCAGCAGUGGGGAAUUUUGGACAAUGGGCGAAAGCCUGAUCCAGCCAUGCCGCGUGCGGGAAGAAGGCCUUCGGGUUGUAAACCGCUUUAGUCCGGGAAAAAGGGGUGCGAGGAUAAUACCCUUGUGCUUUGAUGGUACUGGAAGAAUAAGCACCGGCUAACUACGUG
RNAcentral lists this ribosomal RNA (506 nucleotides) under uncultured bacterium. RNAcentral describes it as "bacterial SSU rRNA". It matches the Rfam family "Bacterial small subunit ribosomal RNA", at positions 8 to 507 of the family's 1533-position model. The record is from RNAcentral.